GGACAGGCUGUGUGGUUCGUCGUUUGGAGGGCAGUGGAAGGAGCACUGGACUUGGAGUCAGGAAGUCCUGCCAUUAGCAUCC
This 82-nucleotide microRNA precursor is filed under the name Mustela putorius furo (domestic ferret). RNAcentral describes it as "miRNA (ENSMPUG00000021712.1)". The record is from RNAcentral. Lineage: Eukaryota; Metazoa; Chordata; Mammalia; Carnivora; Mustelidae.